RNAcentral lists this long non-coding RNA (454 nucleotides) under Corvus moneduloides (New Caledonian crow). RNAcentral's name for it is "lncRNA (ENSCMUG00000017181.1)". The record is from RNAcentral. Lineage: Eukaryota; Metazoa; Chordata; Aves; Passeriformes; Corvidae.
GCCGGGGGUCGCCUGGCGGGGCUGUGCGGCUGCCGGCGGCGACGCGCUCGCCCUUCCUGCCCUCGGGAGAGAUCGUUUCCAGGAAUUGAGGGGCUGCGGAGGCAGGAAAUCCUGCGGGGCCCCGUGCGGGGAGCGGCCGCAACAGCAUCACCUCCGCGCGCAGGAGGGUGGGGUCCCCGGCCGCCUCCUCCCUGCUCCGUGUGAGCAUCCGCGCGAUGAAAUGUGGAAUCCGACGGUGGGAUCAAGGGUCUUGGACUCAAUUUUCCACCCUGGGUCAUCCUGUGCUGUUGAGGAGGAUUUGGGAGGACUACGGGGCCAGGUGUUGAAUCUAUGAGCAGAGAUGGAGUGCCAUUGUCCUUCCAAGUGAACAUGGAAUAGAUGGGGAGAAGCUAUGUAAGUUCUAGGCUUCCAGGAAUGGAUGCCAAAACAAUUUAUUAAAUUUGCUGUUAAGAAU